GUGCUUACACAUGCAAGUCGAACGAUGAUGCUGGAGCUUGCUCCAGUUGAUUAGUGGCGAACGGGUGAGUAACACGUGAGCAAUCUGCCCUUGACUCUGGGAUAACUGCGGGAAACUGUAGCUAAUACCGGAUACUUUCACCGGAAGGCAUCUUCUGGUGAUGAAAGAAUUUCGGUCAGGGAUGAGCUCGCGGCCUAUCAGCUUGUUGGUGAGGUAACGGCUCACCAAGGCGACGACGGGUAACCGGCCUGAGAGGGUGACCGGUCACACUGGGACUGAGACACGGCCCAGACUCCUACGGGAGGCAGCAGUAGGGAAUAUUGGGCAAUGGAGGCAACUCUGACCCAGCCACGCCGCGUGCAGGAGGAAGGCGCUCUGCGUUGUAAACUGCUUUAGCAGGGGAAGAAAAAGGCCAUGCGUGGCAAAUUGACGGUACCCUGAGAAUAAGCACCGGCUAACUACGUGCCAGCAGCCGCGGUAAUACGUAGGGUGCAAGCGUUGUCCGGAUUUAUUGGGUUUAAAGGGUGCGUAGGCGGUCUAUUAAGUCAGUGUUUAAAUUUUGCAGCUUAACUGUAGGUAUGGCAUUGAUACUGAUGGACUUGAAUAUUAGAGAGGUAGCUGGAAUUUAUGGUGUAGCGGUGAAAUGCAUAGAUACCAUAAGGAACACCGAUAGCGGAGGCAUGUUACCAUCUGGUUAUUGACGCUGAGGCACGAAAGUGUGGGGAUCAAACAGGAUUAGAUACCCUGGUAGUCCACACUGUAAACGAUGAUUACUAGAUGCUGGGCAGUUGUGUUCAGUGUUCAAGCGAAAGCGAUAAGUAAUCCACCUGGGGAGUACGACCGCAAGGUUGAAACUCAAAUGAAUUGACGGA
This 872-nucleotide ribosomal RNA is filed under the name uncultured Bacteroidota bacterium. RNAcentral's name for it is "bacterial SSU rRNA". It matches the Rfam family "Bacterial small subunit ribosomal RNA", at positions 44 to 917 of the family's 1533-position model. Lineage: Bacteria; Pseudomonadati; Bacteroidota. The record is from RNAcentral.